RNAcentral lists this long non-coding RNA (2046 nucleotides) under Salmo salar (Atlantic salmon). RNAcentral describes it as "lncRNA (ENSSSAG00000098964.1, ENSSSAG00000118718.1)". Lineage: Eukaryota; Metazoa; Chordata; Actinopteri; Salmoniformes; Salmonidae. The record is from RNAcentral.
GGUGGGUGGGUGCAUGUGCAUGUGAGCAGAGUGGCAUAGUGUAUUAUGGGGUAAAACUCUGGGCCUGAACUUAAUAAAACAGUGACACCAUAAACUACACAACCAGCUACUGUACAACACUGCCAUCUACUGUGUGUGUAUGUGCUGGUGUUACUAUCCUCAUGGGAUACCUGAAAUCCCCACAAGGAAAAAUCUCCCUCAUGGGGACAUUUCCCAGGGCCACACUAGGACAAAGGCUAUUUUAGGCUUAGGGGUUAUGAUUACAAUUAAAGUUAGGGUUUAGGAGUUAGGGUUUAGUUUAGGGUUAGGAGUUAGGGUUUAGGAGUUAGGGUUUAGUUUAGGGUUAUGAGUUAGGGUUUAGGAGUUAGGGUUUAGUUUAGGGUUAGGAGUUAGGGUUUAGGAGUUAGGGUUUAGUUUAGGGUUAGGAGUUAGGGUUUAGGAGUUAGGGUUUAGUUUAGGGUUAGGAGUUAGGGUUUAGGAGUUAGGGUUUAGUUUAGGUUUAGGAGUUAGGGUUUAGGAGUUAGGGUUUAGUUUAUGGUUAGGAGUUAGGGUUUAGGAGUUAGGGUUUAGUUUAGGGUUAGGAGUUAGGGUUUAGUUUAGAUGUAGGGGUUAGUUUAGAGUUUAGUUUAGGGUUAGGGUUAAGGAAAAUAGGAUUUUGAAUGGAAAUCAAUUUUAGGUCCCCACAAGGAUAAUAAUACCAAACGUGUGUGUCUGUGUUUUAUUUCAUGUUUAAUCCCCUCCAAACUCAACUAACUCCUCCCAGUCUGGUCUAGAUAGUACAUCAGGGGUCAGAGGUUAGACAAGGAAGUGUACAUCAGGGGUCAGAGGUUAGACAAGGAAGUGUACAGCAGGGGUUAGAGGUUAGACAAGGAAGUGUACAGCAGGGGUUAGAGGUUAGACAAGGAAGUGUACAUCAGGGGUUAGAGGUUAGACAAGGAAGUGUACAUCAGGGGUUAGAGGUUAGACAAGGAAGUGUACAGCAGGGGUUAGAGGUUAGACAAGGAAGUGUACAGCAGGGGUUAGAGGUUAGACAAGGAAGUGUACAUCAGGGGUUAGAGGUUAGACAAGGAAGUGUACAGGGGGUGUUUUGCAGCUGGCCCGCUGGGUCAGGGGCGACCUCCAACAUGGAAACACGUUACAAUCUAACAAAUGGAAGGGCCACACUUAUCAUCAACAAUGUCACCAAGGAGGAUGCUGGGAACUACACCUGUAAGGCAUACAUCAUACACCAGGAUCCCUCCAAUAGGGUGGAGGGAGAGCUACAGGUUGCAUGGGUUUAUAUAUAUGGUGAAAAACCGGUGCUUUAAAUGCAUGGGGAGAAGUGUAGGAGUAGCACUCUUUGGGAGAAAGGUCGAGAAUUAAGAUAGAUGGACAGCCACAUGAUAUUUAGCAACAUUAAUUGGACUGAAUUGUUUUUGGUAUCUUUAAGUUUGUUUUCAGUGUAUUAAACUAAGUUCAUAUAGCCUAGUUUAUUUAUUUGAUGAUGUUUAAAUGUUUAAAUUGAAAUGGUGCUGGAAUAACGGAGGCAGCUCCUGUUGUCUUUGUGCUGACUUGAGGUAACUCUGUGGGUCUGAAUUAGUAUUUGUUUAGUAAAACUCUCAAAAACAUGAACUUGCUUGACCAUACUGCAGGUCAUUUAACUGUUUGUAUAUGCAAUAUUUGCUUUGUGGACUUCACCAGACAGAUGUCACCAGACAAACAUCAUGCCCCUCCCCUGACAAUCCCACUUACAGUGAUUGAUUGACAGGCCAAACUUUUAAAGGGAUAGUUCACCCAAAUUACAAAACGACACAUUGGCUCUCCACAGCAGGAGAGAAAAUAAAAUAAAUAUUUUGAAAAACAAACAUUGUGGCGUUUCAUAUCUUGCAGUAAAACUGUAAAUAUGACUUUAAUAUCAAGAGAAGACAGGUUUAAUGGUACCAAAAGGUUAUCAUAUAGGCCUAGGACUAGAUCAUAUCCAAAACAACUAACAACACUGAAUUCAUACAUUUUCUGUCAUUUUAAUUGUAAAGUCAUGUCUUUCUACUCAAUACCACAACAAAUGCU